UGUCACCUUCCAGAGCGCCCGCGGCCGAGCCUGCUGCGCAGUCUGAUGACGUAUUUCCUGUUGGCCGAGCCGCGCGUACAGCUCAUCUAUCGCUCCCAGCUCCACGCAGGUCAACACAAGCUUGGCAGGGUCUCAGUAUGUAGUCCAGACUGGCUUCGAGCUUGCAGCAAUCCACCUGUCUCACCAUCCCAAGUGCUGGGAUAACAGUUAGGAAGCCACAACUUGAAUAGGAUAAGUUCAUCAUUGGCCCUCUCAUCCAGGACAUAGGUGUACACCACUGAAGCUUGGCCUUUACUUCUGAUUGAUCAGGAAGCUGUGAGUGAGCCAGACACCUGAACUAUUUCUCUAGGAAUAUAUGCAAUGAAGGUGGUAUGUCUGAAUGAAAAAACAACCUACAAGGGGGUUUCACCCCAUAUUCUCAUUCCUGAAUGACAAUGAUUCCCUGAGUCCUUGGACGGAAGUUGUGUCCUGGCUCUGUUUUCCUAGGAGGCUACCACCCUGGACCUGAAUAUUGUAUCCUAUGUUCCUUUUCUUUUCGAGACAAGCUCAAUAUACAGUUCAGGCUGGCUGGAAAUUCUCAGUGAUCCUCCUGCCUCAGCCUCCCGAGUGCUGGGAUUACAAGCAUGCAUCACCACAUCAGGCCUGUUUCUUUUUGAUGAAAGUGUGGGGAGACAUAUUGGCAAUCAGCAGGCAAUGUCCCCAUAUAUAUGCUUGCCACAAUGGCACUAGUACAGUGGAACUAUGAGAAGCAACCAAAGCAAGAUGUGUCUCAACACAUCUUGAGUGGGAGUGGGUAUUAUUUUGGUAACUAGGGUGGCUUUGUGUGGCUCAUUUCUACAAUCUUCCCCAGGUCUGCUGAGAACACCAAACCAUUCCAAAAAGAUUACAGUAAAUAAUACCAGGGGCCUAGCAUUCUUUCCAAGGCUUUAAUUCCAGCACACUAUUCAGGAUACAAAGUAGUUUGCCAGAGUGGCUUCACAGACUGGGGCUGUGCAGGAUCACUUUGAAUAGGACUAGAGGCUCUGUCAUGCGCACGUCCAGCCUUGGCUUCCUGUUGGCAUGUGCCAGAAUCUCAGCUCUCCUGGAGAAAUCAGGGGAGUAGGCCUCUGUUCU
Molecule: long non-coding RNA, 1113 nt
Filed under: Heterocephalus glaber (naked mole-rat)
Lineage: Eukaryota; Metazoa; Chordata; Mammalia; Rodentia; Bathyergidae
Description: lncRNA (ENSHGLG00000037130.1)
Source: RNAcentral